RNAcentral lists this ribosomal RNA (491 nucleotides) under uncultured bacterium. RNAcentral describes it as "bacterial SSU rRNA". It matches the Rfam family "Bacterial small subunit ribosomal RNA", at positions 355 to 859 of the family's 1533-position model. The record is from RNAcentral.
UGGGGAAUAUUGGACAAUGGGGGAAACCCUGAUCCAGCGACGCCGCGUGGGUGAAGAAGGCCUGCGGGUUGUAAAGCCCUUUCGGUAGGGACGAACGUGACGGUACCUGCAGAAGAAGCCCCGGCUAACUACGUGCCAGCAGCCGCGGUAAUACGUAGGGGGCAAGCGUUAUCCGGAUUCAUUGGGCGUAAAGCGCCCGUAGGCGGCUUGUUAAGUCAGAUGUGAAAACCGGGGGCUCAACCCGCGGCCUGCAUCUGAAACUGGCAGGCUUGAGUCUGGUAGAGGAAAGUGGAAUUCCUGGUGUAGCGGUGAAAUGCGCAGAUAUCAGGAGGAACACCAGUGGCGAAGGCGGCUUUCUGGGCCACGACUGACGCUGAGGCGCGAAAGCUAGGGGGAGCGGAACAGGAUUAGAUACCCUGGUAGUCCUAGCCGUAAACGAUGGGCACGUAGGUGUGGGAGGUCAUCGACUUCCUCGUGCCGAAGCUAACGCA